UCCGGUUUGUCACCGGCAGUCCCAUUAGAGUGCUCAACUGAAUGUAGCAACUAAUGGCAAGGGUUGCGCUCGUUGCGGACUUAACCCAACAUCUCACGACACGAGCUGACGACAGCCAUGCAGCACCUGUGUCUAGGUUCCCUUUCGGGCACCUCUGCAUUUCUGCAGAGUUCCUAGCAUGUCAAGGGUAGGUAAGGUUUUUCGCGUUGCAUCGAAUUAAACCACAUGCUCCACCGCUUGUGCGGGCCCCCGUCAAUUUCUUUGAGUUUUAAUCUUGCGACCGUACUCCCCAGGCGGAGAACUUAGCGCGUUAGCUACGACACCGAGAGGCUAAUCCCUCCCGACAUCUAGUUCUCAUCGUUUACGGCGUGGACUAC
Molecule: unclassified non-coding RNA, 377 nt
Filed under: uncultured Gammaproteobacteria bacterium
Lineage: Bacteria; Pseudomonadati; Pseudomonadota; Gammaproteobacteria
Description: contains 16S-23S intergenic spacer region
Source: RNAcentral